AGUGAACGCUGGCGGUAGGCCCAACACAUGCAAGUCGAACGGCAGCACAGUAAGAGCUUGCUCUUACGGGUGGCGAGUGGCGGACGGGUGAGGAAUACAUCGGAAUCUACUUUUUCGUGGGGGAUAACGUAGGGAAACUUACGCUAAUACCGCAUACGACCUACGGGUGAAAGCAGGGGAUCUUCGGACCUUGCGCGAUUGAAUGAGCCGAUGUCGGAUUAGCUAGUUGGCGGGGGAAAGGCCCACCAAGGCGACGAUCCGUAGCUGGUCUGAGAGGAUGAUCCGCCACACUGGAACUGAGACACGGUCCAGACUCCUACGGGAGGCAGCAGUGGGGAAUAUUGGACAAUGGGCGCAAGCCUGAUCCAGCCAUACCGCGUGGGUGAAGAAGGCCUUCGGGUUGUAAAGCCCUUUUGUUGGGAAAGAAAAGCAGCAGGUUAAUACCCCGCUGUUCUGACGGUACCCAAAGAAUAAGCACCGGCUAACUUCGUG
RNAcentral lists this ribosomal RNA (492 nucleotides) under uncultured bacterium. Its description in RNAcentral is "partial 16S ribosomal RNA". It matches the Rfam family "Bacterial small subunit ribosomal RNA", at positions 29 to 507 of the family's 1533-position model. The record is from RNAcentral.